This 414-nucleotide ribosomal RNA is filed under the name uncultured bacterium. RNAcentral's name for it is "bacterial SSU rRNA". It matches the Rfam family "Bacterial small subunit ribosomal RNA", at positions 364 to 793 of the family's 1533-position model. The record is from RNAcentral.
UUGCACAAUGGGCGCAAGCCUGAUGCAGCAACGCCGUGUGAGUGAAGAAGGUUUUCGGAUCGUAAAACUCUGUCCUAAGGGAAGAAACAAAUGACGGUACCUUAGGAGGAAGCCCCGGCUAACUACGUGCCAGCAGCCGCGGUAAUACGUAGGGGGCAAGCGUUAUCCGGAAUCACUGGGCGUAAAGGGUGCGUAGGCGGCUUAGCAAGCCAGGGGUGAAAGGCAUUGGCUCAACCAAUGUAAGCCUUUGGAACUGUUAAGCUUGAGUGCAGGAGAGGUAAGUGGAAUUCCUAGUGUAGAGGUGAAAUUCGUAGAUAUUAGGAGGAACACCAGUGGCGAAGGCGACUUACUGGACUGUAACUGACGCUGAUGCACGAAAGCGUGGGUAGCGAACAGGAUUAGAUACCCUGGUAA